CGGGAACUCGGGUGCGAGGGUGAACACAACAUCCGGACAAGCACGUGCGCGUUUCAUGUUCUUGCCCCGAAGUUGUCUCCGCCUUCAAAACCCGCAAGCUACG
RNAcentral lists this microRNA precursor (103 nucleotides) under Ixodes scapularis (black-legged tick). RNAcentral's name for it is "microRNA isc-mir-5315 precursor". Lineage: Eukaryota; Metazoa; Arthropoda; Arachnida; Ixodida; Ixodidae. The record is from miRBase by way of RNAcentral.